Molecule: long non-coding RNA, 347 nt
Filed under: Elaeis guineensis (African oil palm)
Lineage: Eukaryota; Viridiplantae; Streptophyta; Magnoliopsida; Arecales; Arecaceae
Description: long non-coding RNA (EGUI_LNC015939)
Source: RNAcentral
GCCGAACUGCUGGAGCAUGCGUACAAAUAUAUAUGCACAGACGAAGGAGCUUCCGACCGGUGCCUAACUGAGGCCAAGGGCUCAAAGGAGAAGCGAAGGAAAGGUUGGGCCCCUACCGAGCCCAGCAGGCCCCCGACCGACAAACAGGUCUCACCCCAACGACGGAGCCCGAGAUCACCUCGACGGCGGAGUCCGAGGUCAAUGCAUCCCAGGUAUGACUCCUAUACUCUCCUCUCUGCUCCUCGUGCGCAGAUUUUGAUGGAGAUCGAAGGAAAAGAAUAUUUGCGACGGCCUCCGCCUUUGAAGGCAAAGGGCCUCGACCGACGAAAGUACUGUCGAUUUCAUCG